GUAGAUCAGCUGUAAUAUCAAUUACCUUCCUCAAAAAUCAAUAAACAGACUCUCAAUACAUAAAAGAGAACAAUGAGGAGCAAGGAGGGAGAGGAAUCCACGGGCCCUGACAAUGAAUUAAACCAGGGAAGGAAACAAAGGACACGAAUGACAUGAGAAUCAGAGAGGAGAAAAAAAUUAACCCAACAACGAAGGGUUAAGAUCUCGAUUUACUGACAAAAUUGACACAUACGAUAGCACCAGUGGCGCACCCUCACGCCGAAGCACGCAAGGGUGACGUUGACUCCAUGGGAGGCGACCUCCGGGCAGAGGGCGUCCAGCGGAUCCUGGCCCUGGACCCGCCAGGAGGCGGUCUUGGGGUGGCGCCGGGCUCAAUGACUUGACCAGCGGCUGGAGGCGAGCCUGCCAGUGGCCAAAGCACGCAGGGGUUACGAUGCCUCCAUGGGACUCCGGGCAGAGGGCGUCCAGCGGAUCCUGGCCCUGGACCCGCCAGGAGGCGGUCUUGGGGUGGCGCCGGGCUCAAUGACUUGACUAGCGGCUGGAGGCGAGCCUGCCAGUGGCCAAAGCACGCAGGGGUUACGAUGCCUCUCCAUGGGAGGCGACCUUCGUGGCAGCGGCGCGAAGGGGAUCAGGAUGAGGGAGAGAGUGGUUGUGGUGAGGGUUUCACAGAGAGAUGGGGAUCGAGAGAGUGGUUGUGAGGAAUCUUGCACAAAGAGAUGGGGAUCAAACUCCUUGUGUACGAGGGGCUCGAAGCCGCCUAGGUCUUGGGCCAGCCUGGUGGGCUGCGGCUCCAGGGGAAGAUGGGUCGUGGGUACCAGGCC
This 821-nucleotide ribosomal RNA is filed under the name Triticum aestivum (bread wheat). Its description in RNAcentral is "partial small subunit ribosomal RNA". The record is from RNAcentral. Lineage: Eukaryota; Viridiplantae; Streptophyta; Magnoliopsida; Poales; Poaceae.